GGGAGCUUUUGCUCCUGGAUUAGUGGCGAACGGGUGAGUAACACGUGAGUAACCUGCCCUUAACUCUGGGAUAAGCCUGGGAAACUGGGUCUAAUACCGGAUAUGACUCCUCAUCGCAUGGUGGGGGGUGGAAAGCUUUUUGUGGUUUUGGAUGGACUCGCGGCCUAUCAGCUUGUUGGUGAGGUAAUGGCUUACCAAGGCGACGACGGGUAGCCGGCCUGAGAGGGUGACCGGCCACACUGGGACUGAGACACGGCCCAGACUCCUACGGGAGGCAGCAGUGGGGAAUAUUGCACAAUGGGCGCAAGCCUGAUGCAGCGACGCCGCGUGAGGGAUGACGGCCUUCGGGUUGUAAACCUCUUUCAGUAGGGAAGAAGCGAAAGUGACGGUACCUGCAGAAGAAGCGCCGGCUAACUACGUGCCAGCAGCCGCGGUAAUACGUAGGGCGCAAGCGUUAUCCGGAAUUAUUGGGCGUAAAGAGCUCGUAGGCGGUUUGUCGCGUCUGCCGUGAAAGUCCGGGGCUCAACUCCGGAUCUGCGGUGGGUACGGGCAGACUAGAGUGAUGUAGGGGAGACUGGAAUUCCUGGUGUAGCGGUGAAAUGCGCAGAUAUCAGGAGGAACACCGAUGGCGAAGGCAGGUCUCUGGGCAUUAACUGACGCUGAGGAGCGAAAGCAUGGGGAGCGAACAGGAUUAGAUACCCUGGUAGUCCAUGCCGUAAACGUUGGGCACUAGGUGU
RNAcentral lists this ribosomal RNA (737 nucleotides) under Arthrobacter sp. ET5sH1.2. Its description in RNAcentral is "bacterial SSU rRNA". It matches the Rfam family "Bacterial small subunit ribosomal RNA", at positions 73 to 823 of the family's 1533-position model. The record is from RNAcentral. Lineage: Bacteria; Bacillati; Actinomycetota; Actinomycetes; Micrococcales; Micrococcaceae.